RNAcentral lists this microRNA (23 nucleotides) under Camellia sinensis. RNAcentral describes it as "microRNA miR1886". Lineage: Eukaryota; Viridiplantae; Streptophyta; Magnoliopsida; Ericales; Theaceae. The record is from RNAcentral.
UGAGAGAAGUGAUAUGAACAUUC